AUGGAGGUCGAGAUCAAGCUCCGGCUCCCGGACGCGGCCGCGCACGGGCGCCUCUCCGCCUUCCUCGCGCCGCGCCUGCUCCGCACCGACGCCCAGCGCAACGUCUUCUUCGACGCCCCCGCGCGGCCCCUCGCCGCCGCCACCGCGGCCCUCCGCGUCCGCCUCUACGGCCCCGACGACCGCGCCCCGUCCCGCGCCGUGCUCGCGCUCAAGCGCCGCGCGCGCAUCGACGCCGGCGUCAGCCGCGUCGAGGAGGUCGAGGAGCCCCUCGACCCGGCCCUCGCCCUCGCCUGCCUCGACGACCCCGCCCGCCUCGGCGCCGUCGACUCCCCCAUCGUCCGGCUCGUCUCCGACGAGUACGGCGUCGGCGGGGACAGAGCGCCGUUCGUCUGCCUCGGCGGGUUCCGGAACACCCGCGGCGUGUACGAGCUCGGGGAGGGCGAGGGGCAGGGGCUCGUGCUGGAGCUCGACGAGACGCACUUUGAUUUCGGCACCAACUACGAGCUCGAGUGCGAGACCGCGGAGCCCGACCAGGCCAAGGAGGUCCUCGAGCGGCUGCUCACGGUCGCUGGGGUGCCGUAUGAGUACUCCCGGAGCAAUAAGUUCGCGUGCUUCAUGGCCGGGAAGCUGCUUCCAUGA
This 639-nucleotide ribosomal RNA is filed under the name Triticum aestivum (bread wheat). RNAcentral's name for it is "partial small subunit ribosomal RNA". Lineage: Eukaryota; Viridiplantae; Streptophyta; Magnoliopsida; Poales; Poaceae. The record is from RNAcentral.